UAGUACCCAUUCGGUUAUAGGAUAUAAAAUAUAGAUUUCUUUAUAACGUUCUUUCUUAAUUAUGAAAACUAGAUAUAGAUGACUCUGUUGGUCAGAUUAGUUUGAAUGGCGGUUUUAGAUCGUUUUGUCUAUUGUGUUGUAACGGUGCUUUUUAGAUGUUAUUGUUUUAAACCUAAGUGUAUUAUUUGUUAUCUUACGAUAAGAUUUACUCGCUUAAUUUUAACUGUACCGUUCUAUAUGUACUUUUGUUUUGUUUUGACAAAUCUCGUUUUUAACAAUCCUCUUGCACUUGACUGCCAGAAGCGGGAUCUGUACCACACACCACGACAAAUUUAUCCCAGUGAAAUGCAAUCAACAAUGCCACCACACUUUUCGAGACCUUACUGGAAGGCGGUAAAGUUCUUGCAAAUGUCGUAAAUGUCGUUCGAUCGGAUACUUUUGUGUCACUGCAGCGCUGUAAUAUAAGAGAAACAUACUAAGAAAAUAUUUAUACUUCACCUACUAAUUACUAAUAAUAAUAUUACUGUAAUAAAGCAACAUUGAUUUAAAAGAAUCAAUGAACAAGAUCAAAUAAAGUUUUGAAAAAACAAUGUAUUCUCCAUAAGUAAUGUAAUUAAAUCCAGUUAAAAUGUAUUUUA
This is a long non-coding RNA of Anthonomus grandis grandis, 638 nucleotides long. RefSeq lists it as uncharacterized. Lineage: Eukaryota; Metazoa; Arthropoda; Insecta; Coleoptera; Curculionidae. The transcript is spliced from 2 exons. The record is from RefSeq and is a predicted model, not a curated record.